Long non-coding RNA from Gambusia affinis (western mosquitofish), 776 nucleotides. RefSeq lists it as uncharacterized. The record is from RefSeq and is a predicted model, not a curated record. The transcript is spliced from 3 exons. Lineage: Eukaryota; Metazoa; Chordata; Actinopteri; Cyprinodontiformes; Poeciliidae.
GAUAGUUACCUAGGUUAGUACCACCUGGGUGUGGGUUGGCGUAAAGGCCGAGCCCGGCAUAGAUUGGCCUUCAGGCCAAGGCCAACAUGAACACCCUCCAUGCAACCAGUAGAGGUUGGUCGCAUGGACCUCCCUGGUGGAUUGGAGGUCUGCCUUUCCUCGCGCCACACUGGUUUAUUGAAGGUAAGUCUUUCUUCAGACCUCCCUGCUUGACUUGAGGUAAGUCUGUCUUCAGACCUCCCUGCUUGAUUUGAGGUCUGCCUUUCCUCGCGCCACACUGGUUGAUUGAAGGUAAGUCGUACUUCAGACCUCCCUGCUUGAUUUGAGGUAAGUCUUUCUUCAGACCUCCCUGCUUGAUUUGAGGUAAGUCUUUCUUCAGACCUCCCUGCUUGAUUUGAGGUAAGUCUUUCUUCAGACCUCCCUGCUUGACUUGAGGUAAGUCUGUCUUCAGACCUCCCUGCUUGAUUUGAGGUCUGCCUUUCCUCGCGCCACACUGGUUUAUUGAAGGUAAGUCUUUCUUCAGACCUCCCUGCUUGACUUGAGGUAAGUCUGUCUUCAGACCUCCCUGCUUGAUUUGAGGUCUGCCUUUCCUCGCGCCACACUGGUUGAUUGAAGGUAAGUCGUACUUCAGACCUCCCUGCUUGAUUUGAGGUCUGCCUUUCCUCGCGCCACACUGGUUGAUUGAAGGUAAGUCGUACUUCAGACCUCCCUGCUUGAUUUGAGGUAAGUCUUUCUUCAGACCUCCCUGCUUGAUUUGAGGUAAGUCUUUCUUCAGA